GUGACUUGAUUGAAGAUCUUCGCCGUGGAAAUUCCUCUUCAACUCCUCCUCCAAAUUCCUAAUUGGUGAAUCCCAGGCCCUAAUUGUAACUGAAGCUCAUUUGGGAAAGGUAUCAAUUAGCAAACGAGCCAGAUUAUUCAUUUAGGCAUGUUAGGAUGGGGAAUUGAAAUAAGUAAUUCUAUAUUGUAGUAGCAUGCUUUGAGCAGUUUUGAACUUUUGUUUCUCUAUGUAUGAAGGUUGUAGCCCUGUGGCAUACUUGUUUUGUGGUUGAAUGUAAGUGUUUUUGGUGUUAGAAGCUGGGGUUUUGCAUUACCAAUUUUCUGCAGUCUUGGUCUCGCUUGUUGAUAUAUAUGCAUGGUGAUUUUACUCGGGUCAGGUGUUGGCUGAUAUGCGAA
RNAcentral lists this unclassified non-coding RNA (395 nucleotides) under Hevea brasiliensis (rubber tree). The record is from RNAcentral. Lineage: Eukaryota; Viridiplantae; Streptophyta; Magnoliopsida; Malpighiales; Euphorbiaceae.